UGCGAUAUGGAUCGGGUAACGAAAAAUGUGUGAAGUACUCAUGCUUUAAAGUGCAGGGCCAGGCGCUGUCGGGGGAACGUAGCACCGAAACCAAAAAAAUAAGAACAAGCUGCCCUGGUGGCCAGACGAGAAGCGCAGCGCGCCGCUCAAAGCGGCCAAUUUGCGACGCGUGCCAGGAGCACGCUACAGACCAGGGUAUUCCUUCGUACAAGCGUGCUCAUGCGCGCCGCGGAAAUGUAGUUCGCCUGUGUCUGUGUGGCGGCUUCGCGCUUCACUACGCCUGUGUGAGCCUCACGCACCUUUUGCAGCAGACUCCGUUGUCUUCUGUCUCUGUGUUGAUGUUAUUAUGCAGCUUUACGUAGCUGAUCAAAAUUCUUCGAGGAUGACACUGCCAGAAGAGUGUGUACCAACUUGUCCAACCUCCUGUUUACUCUGCCAUCAAGGAAAAAGUACUUCAGCACACGGUGAAAUGACUCCACCUUCAUAUUUGUGUUGACAUCAGACCCUGUACGGAAGGCAUGUGCCCAUUCUUCUGACCUCUUAGAUGUGCAGGCUCCCUGAUGCAUUUUGUGUGAAAAGAGCUGAACCGCCCUGCAGGGUAUCUUCACAGAGUGCUUCACUGGUCUUGGACUCUCCUGCUUCUUUCAACAACUGAUAGUCACCCAUGACUAAGGCUGAAUAAUAAGGUGUUUUCCCCAGUCUCAGGGUUUGUUAUGAAGAUCAAUUAUCACCAGCUCGCCUGCUUUCUCACCACUCUUUACAAUAAGGUGUAUAAGCUUUAAACUUUCAGCAGACUUCGGCCAAAGUUACUACUGUCAUAUUGGCAGUGUGGGAAUGGGCACUGUGAUGGAGAAGAGUAAUUUCUCUAGGGAACACCUCUGACCUUUUUUGCAGAAAGUACGUACAGGCUUACCCUCAUGUCUGCAAUAAUGCUGGACAUUAAUCAGAACUCUUUCUUACAACAAUCUGUGUGGAUAACACGGCCUGCAUCGAAGGGCAAUACCUCCAGCCUCAUCACAAGAGAGCACGAGGCAGGGGUGGCACCUUGCGUCGCCAUGCUAUGGAGCUUCCUUUUAUUUAAAUGAAUACUCAUUCCCGUGACAUUCUCCCACAGCAACAGAUACCACUCGACGCCAUGACAGCUGCAAGUGCACAAAGUACACAUCGCACACUCAAGAAGGACUGCAUUAUGUUUGCCCAAAGUUUCAUUGUGCAGCACUUAUUUGCUUUCUUAUGCACAGAAGUCUCAAUCAGCCUUGCGCUAUUGUAUCAACCUUGUACUAUUUUGGGAUACAAAAUCCUGCAGCAGCUCUGGAGGUUUGAGAUGGUAUAAAUCAGGACUUGUCAAUAUCAGACAAGUAUGUCGCAAGUGGAACAUUGUAUGGUGGGUGUGGUACCCUGUACCGUAUCUAAAUGCCAUGGAUUUGGGACAGUAAUAUCCUCGGGUACCAUUUCAAGGCACUAGUCCUGCACAGAGUGGCACAGGGGAGGGAUAUAAAUUUGUUGAAGCGGGAAGGACAGCGUGGCACAGCAGAAAAGUGCACUCGUUGCAUUUACCGUACAUGAAUACCAUCACAUAUUUUGCACUGACAAUCUCAUGUCAGGGAUGAUUGGCAAGCACUGUUUGACUA
Ornithodoros turicata is the source of this 1631-nucleotide long non-coding RNA. RefSeq lists it as uncharacterized. NCBI's taxonomy places the organism in Eukaryota, Metazoa, Arthropoda, Arachnida, Ixodida, Argasidae. The transcript has 3 exons. The record is from RefSeq and is a predicted model, not a curated record.